Molecule: ribosomal RNA, 431 nt
Filed under: uncultured bacterium
Lineage: Bacteria
Description: partial 16S ribosomal RNA
Rfam family: Bacterial small subunit ribosomal RNA
Source: RNAcentral
CCUACGGGAGGCAGCAGUUGGGAAUCUUGGACAAUGGGGGAAACCCUGAUCCAGCCAUGCCGCGUGAGUGAUGAAGGCCUUCGGGUUGUAAAACUCUUUCGCGCACGACGCGGUAGUGCGAGAAGAAGCUCCGGCUAACUUCGUGCCAGCAGCCGCGGUAAUACGAAGGGGGCUAGCGUUGUUCGGAAUUACUGGGCGUAAAGCGCGCGCAGGCGGUCUUCCAAGUCAGUGGUGAAAGCCCGGAGCUCAACUCCGGAACUGCCAUUGAAACUGUGAGACUUGAGUAUGAGAGAGGUGAGUGGAAUUCCCAGUGUAGAGGUGAAAUUCGUAGAUAUUGGGAAGAACACCGGUGGCGAAGGCGGCUCACUGGCUCAUCUGACGCUCAGGCGCGACAGCGUGGGGAUCAAACAGGAUUAGAUACCCUUGUAGUC